This 605-nucleotide long non-coding RNA is filed under the name Trifolium pratense (red clover). Its description in RNAcentral is "long non-coding RNA (TPRA_LNC013317)". Lineage: Eukaryota; Viridiplantae; Streptophyta; Magnoliopsida; Fabales; Fabaceae. The record is from RNAcentral.
AUUAAUUAACUAAAAAUGUAGGUAAAAGUGUGUGACAAAACAAGAGUUGGUAAUGACUUUUGUACAACCUGUAGUUCACAUAUAUGAUAUAUGCAGAGAUUUUAAUAAAUUGGGUUGAAGGACUAUCUAUGAUUAUGAGAUUCUGUUCACAUAUUCCAUCAUUCCAUCCUUAAUUAAUUUCUUAGCCGCUGGAUUUUGUGUAGGGCUUAUUUCUUCAGAUUAAAUUUGUUCGUAGGGAUUUUAUUGUGUAUAGAUUUUUUUUCUGAUAAAUUUCUUCCAAUUUGCAGAUUUUACAUGUUGAACGAAGGAAUGCUCUUUCUUUGAUAUAAUUUGACCUGCUCAAAAUUCUUCUUUUAAUGGAAAUGGACACAAGAUAGAGGAAGCGGGAUAUUAUGUAUUGUUAUAUCUCUUAGUAUUGUUAUAUCUUAGUGUUUUAGAGGCAUCUUGGCUGUAUGUUGUAGUUUUUGUAUUGUUAUAUCUUAGUAUCACUGACGACCCUUGCAAGCGUAGUGAUAAUUUAGUCUUGGUUAUGUUUUGGAUUGAUUAUGUAUUUUUGGAUAAGUAGAUGGUAAUACUUAAAUAUAAAUAUAAAUAUAUUAUGUUCA